This 253-nucleotide ribosomal RNA is filed under the name uncultured bacterium. Its description in RNAcentral is "partial 16S ribosomal RNA". It matches the Rfam family "Bacterial small subunit ribosomal RNA", at positions 524 to 776 of the family's 1533-position model. The record is from RNAcentral.
UACGGGGGGGGCAAGCGUUGUUCGGAAUUACUGGGCGUAAAGGGCUCGUAGGCGGCCAACUAAGUCGGACGUGAAAUCCCCAGGCUCAACCUGGGAACUGCGUCCGAUACUGGAUGGCUUGAAUCCGGGAGAGGGAUGCAGAAUUCCAGGUGUAGCGGUGAAAUGCGUAGAUAUCUGGAGGAAUACCGGUGGCGAAGGCGGCUCUCUGGGACGGUACUGACGCUGAGACGCGAAAGCGUGGGGAGCGAACAGG